This 405-nucleotide ribosomal RNA is filed under the name Dipsas catesbyi. RNAcentral describes it as "partial 16S ribosomal RNA". It matches the Rfam family "Bacterial large subunit ribosomal RNA", at positions 1970 to 2594 of the family's 2925-position model. The record is from RNAcentral. Lineage: Eukaryota; Metazoa; Chordata; Lepidosauria; Squamata; Dipsadidae.
UGUCUAUUAAUUGUAGACCAGUAUGAAAGGCAAAAUGAGGGCCUAUCUGUCUCUUACAAUAAAUCANUUAAACUGAUCUCCUAGUAAAAAAGCUAGAAUCUUUACAUAAGACCAGAAGACCCUGUGAAGCUUAAACUAAACUAUUAAACCCUAUAAUACCUACUUUCGGUUGGGGCGACCUUGGAAAAAAAAAGAACUUCCAAACAUAUGAUACACUCAAACAUAGACCCACAAGUCCAUAAUGACCCAGUAUAACUGACAGUUGANCCAAGUUACUCCAGGGAUAACAGCGCUAUCUUCUUCAAGAGCCCAUAUCAAAAAGAAGGUUUACGACCUCGAUGUUGGAUCAGGNCAUCCUAAUGGUGCANCCGNUAUUAAAGGUUCGUUUGUUCAACGAUUANCAGU